GCUGGUCGUGCCCUCCAUGGCCCUGGGCUGGUACAACAGUUGUUCUAAUUUAAUCUGUGGAUCUAGUCUCCUUAGUAGUCAUGCAGACUCAGUAGAGAACAACAUUAUGGAGCCUGCUUCUGUGAACAUCCGUCUUUCAGCUUCAAAGCUCUACCUCCAGAACAGCCUUCCUUCGCGGCACAGUGCUUCACCUGAGGAACAUAUAGGCUCUGAGUUCAUUAUUCCAGUGAAACCACGCUAAGGAAAAAAGACUUUCCUACCCUCCUCUCAUCUGUUGAACUUUGGCUUCCUUCACUCUCCCUUGCUCUGCACACCCCAGCUCCUCCGAAAUCAAAUGUCAGGAGACUAACUCCGUGAAGAGUCUCUAAGAACAGAGUCCUAAUCAAUCUUGUUCA
This 395-nucleotide long non-coding RNA is filed under the name Homo sapiens (human). RNAcentral describes it as "HSALNT0116284". Lineage: Eukaryota; Metazoa; Chordata; Mammalia; Primates; Hominidae. The record is from RNAcentral.